Molecule: long non-coding RNA, 1154 nt
Organism: Camelus dromedarius (Arabian camel)
Lineage: Eukaryota; Metazoa; Chordata; Mammalia; Artiodactyla; Camelidae
Exons: 8
Source: RefSeq, a predicted model, not a curated record
AGUAGGGAAACAAAGCUGGGAGCGUCGCCCGGGCGAUAGGAAAACCUUAGGAGCUCUGAGGUGGUUGAGGUGCUGGAAAGCUUCUUGCGUCGUCAAGGAAAUACCUGCCAAUGUAGAGAAGUGUCGGCGGAAUCUUGGAAGUGAUGAGAUAAUUACCUGGGACUGCAGUUACUGGAUCAUAAGGUCAGCUGGGCGGCCCUUCACCCUCCUUGGACAGGUGACCAGUCAAGACAUGGCUCUUCUCAUGGCGAUGACAGAGGUGCAAGAGGCAAGCUCACUCAAACAUAUUUCAGGACCCUGUUUAUGUCACAUCUGCUAAAGCAAGUCACAUCGCCAAACCCAAGGACAGACCAGAAAAUCAGGAGACAAUGUGUUGGGGCAAGGAAUAACAACUACUCAUAAAGCUGGCAGACCAAGAAGGUAGAAGACUGAUGUCCUGGAGAGCCAUCUUCCCCAGGUAAUUGUUUUAUUACUCUUUCAAGUGGACACAUUUUAAACACGACUAGAGUGCCUCCCAUAGACCCUGUUGUGGACUUUUCUCAUCGGAAAUCAAUAUUUAUUUAAGCCAUAAAACCAGAGGAAUUUGGCUGGAAAGUCCUCAUUAGGACCACAGUCAUGUCUCCUUUUCUAACUGGAGGGAAGCUUCUCGUGGGUGCAAGACGGCAGAGGCAGGAGGUGGUGGACUUGACAGCAGAGGAAUGAGCUGGUGCUUGUCCAUUUUCUCUGCGUAUCAGUGUCUCUAAACAUGCAUUGAGAUCAUCAGCUAAAUUUGAAGGGAAACGUGUUGGCGACUUUAGGAGAAAGGAGAAGGCAUAAAACAGUUCUGAAGGAGGGGAGCGUGUUCACACCUCAGGCUUCUCCCUGGGUACUCAACGCCUCACUGAGGAAGGAGCUUUGUCCAGAAGAUUCCUCACCCUGUCCAGAGCGUACGUGCUGGCUGGGAAGCUGCUGUUUGCUUGCCAUGGAGGAGAAAGCAAACAGGAAGCACAUUUCUCUUGAGGGGUAUUUAUAGAUGCUGUAUGCAGUGGGCUCCUGAGGAAGCAUGAUCUGCACAUCUGGGGACCCAGGUAAGUGCGGGGCCCUCAGGAGCCUCUGUGUGGGGUUAUGACCUAUCGGCCGGAUGAAGCCAUAAGGGGACAUUUGGAACCAACCAU